Vicia villosa (hairy vetch) is the source of this 2241-nucleotide long non-coding RNA. RefSeq lists it as uncharacterized. The transcript is spliced from 5 exons. NCBI's taxonomy places the organism in Eukaryota, Viridiplantae, Streptophyta, Magnoliopsida, Fabales, Fabaceae. The record is from RefSeq and is a predicted model, not a curated record.
UGGUGUUAGUAGAUCAACUGCAACAAAAUAGUAACUGAAAAGUACCAUUUUCAAAUACUUUUUGAGUAAACAGUGCCCUCCUUCCCAAGACCUUACUUUUCAGAUGUAGAAAGCCUGUCAUUCCAAACACACGCAACCUCUCUUCGCUCUCAUUUGAAUCCACCCUCUCUUUCACAUUCCUCAUUCUUCAACUCAACCUUCAGCUUUCUUCUUCUUCCACCGUGUUCUUUGAUUCUCAGACGAAAGAUUUUUUUAAUUCCACUUUUUUAUUCAUUUCUCUGUUUCUUCACACAGUACAUAUUUGUGGUUUCAUCUCUCUCAUUACUUUCUUCAUCCCUCCAUCUCUACUUCUAUGAAGAAACCCUAACCCUUAAAACUUCCACACUCAAACUUUCUUCUUCUAACAUCAUUUUAUCAUGCUUAUCCUCUUCUCCCUCUUUCAUGUAACUGAGCCCAACAUUUUCUCUCCCUAAUCCACGCUUUUAUAUAUGUACCUUCAACUUUCGGCAACAUCAAAAACGGGUUAAUUUGUUGUAUCAAUUUGUUCGAUUUUUGGUGUUUACUUAUGGUUUACUGGUUUAUCAUUGAUGGCUUUUGUUAUGUGUUUUACGUUCUUCUUCGUAAUGUUUGUCAUCGCUUGUGUUUUGUUUUUUUGAUUUAGAUCUGACUUGUCGUAAAUGAAUAUUUUAGUUCAUGAAAUGCCCUUAGGUUCUUCCCCCUUCCUUCAUUCCCUCAUUCAUUUUCCUAUAUUAUUUUUUUUCCAAAUUUUCCAUUUCUUAUUUCUACAGUGACUUUGUGCUAUGAGUUUGGAACUUUGAUUUCGGAAAUUGAAGAGCGUUGCAAAAAUUCAAUAGAAAAAUUUAUCUUUUAAAUAUGAUUUGAAUUUUGUUGUGCUGUUUUGAUUUAUGCUAAAUGGCUUUAAAAAGCUAUUAUUUUGACAUUUGAGAUUAUAAUUUUUUUUUGCUUCUGUAAUUCCAGAUUGAUGAGAAUGUGGCAAGAGAGAUUAUCAACCAUGGGUCUCUUCGGUACCCGAAUAUAUGUGGUUUUGAUUCCUACUCAUUUAGAAAUAGUGAUGGAGUAUGCAACUAGAGGUGAACUCUUUCAGAGGAUAUGUAAUGCCGAAUGGUUUAGCGAAAAUGAUGUUAAUAACUUGACGGUUUUGCAGAGUCUCUAGCAAAUUGGUCAUAAAGCAAAUCGUCUUGGGAGUAAAUAUGAUAUUUAUUUGUAUUCAAGUACUGAUAUUGGAGUAUUGUGCUAUGGAUUGAUUUAAAAUGAUAUGCCAUAAGAUAUGGUUUGGAAGGAAUUUUUUAAUUAACUUACACCUUUCUUUAUCAUACUAACUUCUGUAUCGCUGUAGAGUUGCGUGAUUUGAAAAACCGCUAUUGUUCCGCAAUACACUAUUUAGUAUAAAAUAUUGUCAAAAGCUACUAUAGCAUUAUUGCAUUAUUUAAGUGUUGAUAUUGGUGUAGUUUGUGUUUAAACUUGAUCUGACAGACAUAAUUAUAUGAGAAACCAAAUCAUAGGUUAUGGGUGUGAGCUCUGAAGAAACCAGAUCUGAGUUAUCUGAUGCAGAUAUGGUAGUAUAUUUUGAUCUUUAGAGAUUCCUACCAAUGAGUGCAGUGGCAUUGCUUCAAUAAACUGUCACAUUUUACCUUUGCGGUUAAAAUCUUCAUAUUUAACUUCGAAUGCAGAUUGUUCACUUUCAGACUUGCUUAAGGACUUCAAUGCAAAGCUUGGUAAUAGUUGGCGUGUACAUCAGAUUUCGUAAAUUAGCUGGCGUGUUUCGUGGGGGCUUUGCAGUCCGAACUGGUUGGUGUUUUCAAGAGUGCACCUCAAAUGCAAUCGAAUGGUGGUUGAUAAUAGUUGCUGCAACUUUGGUUGUUGUUAACAGCUUCAAGAAUUCAACUCAUUUGUUUGGAGUUAUUUAUGAACAAAUGUUACUUUGGUAUGUUAUAUCCAAUGAGUAUCAACGUAUGGUUCUACAUUUUGGUUUUUCGCACAAGGACUGACAUCACUCUGCCCGGAUUAGUAUAUGUUCUAUUAUGUAAUCCUUACAUCAUGGAUGUGAAAGGCAAUGGACUUUUUCUUUUUGAAAGGGCUAGAAGGAGAAAAGAUUUGGACUUUCUCGGUUUAGAAAUGAAUGAAAAGUCUGUGUUUCUUCAUAUAGUUUGUUUAACUUUCUAAGCUUUGCUUUCCUGAUUUAUUUAUCUAUUCUAUUUUUAAGCACUUCAUUAAAUCAGA